RNAcentral lists this ribosomal RNA (518 nucleotides) under Burkholderia sp. Z4NS-284. Its description in RNAcentral is "bacterial SSU rRNA". It matches the Rfam family "Bacterial small subunit ribosomal RNA", at positions 47 to 560 of the family's 1533-position model. The record is from RNAcentral. Lineage: Bacteria; Pseudomonadati; Pseudomonadota; Betaproteobacteria; Burkholderiales; Burkholderiaceae.
CCUUACACAUGCAAGUCGGACGGCAGCGCGGGCUUCGGCCUGGCGGCGAGUGGCGAACGGGUGAGUAAUACAUCGGAACGUGUCCUGGAGUGGGGGAUAGCCCGGCGAAAGCCGGAUUAAUACCGCAUACGCUCUGAGGAGGAAAGCGGGGGAUCUUUCGGGACCUCGCGCUCAAGGGGCGGCCGAUGGCAGAUUAGGUAGUUGGUGGGGUAAAGGCCUACCAAGCCGACGAUCUGUAGCUGGUCUGAGAGGACGACCAGCCACACUGGGACUGAGACACGGCCCAGACUCCUACGGGAGGCAGCAGUGGGGAAUUUUGGACAAUGGGCGCAAGCCUGAUCCAGCAAUGCCGCGUGUGUGAAGAAGGCCUUCGGGUUGUAAAGCACUUUUGUCCGGAAAGAAAACCUCUGCCCUAAUACGGCGGGGGGAUGACGGUACCGGAAGAAUAAGCACCGCUAACUACGUGCCAGCAGCCGCGGUAAUACGUAGGGUGCGAGCGUUAUCGGAUUACCUGGGCG